UACGUAUGGUGCAAGCGUUAUCCGGAUUUACUGGGCGUAAAGGGAGCGCAGGCGGCGCGCCAAGUCUGAUGUGAAACCCCGGGGCUCAACCCCGGGCAUGCAUUGGAAACUGGCGGGCUGGAGUGCCGGAGAGGUAAGCGGAAUUCCUAGUGUAGCGGUGAAAUGCGUAGAUAUUAGGAGGAACACCAGUGGCGGAGGCGGCUUACUGGACGGCAACUGACGCUGAGGCUCGAAAGCGUGGGGAGCAAACAGG
RNAcentral lists this ribosomal RNA (253 nucleotides) under uncultured bacterium. RNAcentral's name for it is "partial 16S ribosomal RNA". It matches the Rfam family "Bacterial small subunit ribosomal RNA", at positions 524 to 776 of the family's 1533-position model. The record is from RNAcentral.